RNAcentral lists this ribosomal RNA (495 nucleotides) under uncultured bacterium. RNAcentral's name for it is "partial 16S ribosomal RNA". It matches the Rfam family "Bacterial small subunit ribosomal RNA", at positions 28 to 507 of the family's 1533-position model. The record is from RNAcentral.
GACGAACGCUGGCGGCGUGCCUAAUACAUGCAAGUAGAACGCUGAAGGAGGAGCUUGCUUCUCUGGAUGAGUUGCGAACGGGUGAGUAACGCGCAGGUAACCUGCCUGGUAGCGGGGGAUAACUAUUGGAAACGAUAGCUAAUACCGCAUAAGAGUAGAUGUUGCAUGACAUUUGCUUAAAAGGUGCAAUUGCAUCACUACCAGAUGGACCUGCGUUGUAUUAGCUAGUUGGUGGGGUAACGGCUCACCAAGGCGACGAUACAUAGCCGACCUGAGAGGGUGAUCGGCCACACUGGGACUGAGACACGGCCCAGACUCCUACGGGAGGCAGCAGUAGGGAAUCUUCGGCAAUGGACGGAAGUCUGACCGAGCAACGCCGCGUGAGUGAAGAAGGUUUUCGGAUCGUAAAGCUCUGUUGUAAGAGAAGAACGAGUGUGAGAGUGGAAAGUUCACACUGUGACGGUAUCUUACCAGAAAGGGACGGCUAACUACGUG